This 1052-nucleotide ribosomal RNA is filed under the name fungal endophyte. RNAcentral's name for it is "eukaryotic LSU rRNA". The stretch from base 467 to 1052 matches the Rfam family "Eukaryotic large subunit ribosomal RNA", at positions 1 to 599 of the family's 3401-position model. The record is from RNAcentral. Lineage: Eukaryota; Fungi.
GAGUUGCAAACUCCCAAACCAUUUGUUUAUCUACCUGUUUCGUUGCUUCGGCAGGCGGCUCUCCGGGGCCUUUGCUACCUGUAGUGCCUGCCGGAGUAUCUAAAACUCUUGUUAUUUUUGUUCUGUCUGAGUAAACUUUUAAUAGUUAAAACUUUCAACAACGGAUCUCUUGGUUCUGGCAUCGAUGAAGAACGCAGCGAAAUGCGAUAAGUAAUGUGAAUUGCAGAAUUCAGUGAAUCAUCGAAUCUUUGAACGCACAUUGCGCCCAUUAGUAUUCUAGUGGGCAUGCCUGUUCGAGCGUCAUUUCAACCCUCAAGCUCUCUUGCUUGGUGUUGGGGCUUCUGCGGCUUCGGCCGCAGGCCCUGAAAAACAGUGGCGGGCUCGCUAUAACUCCGAGCGUAGUAAUCUCUCUCGCUUUGGAAGUGUAGCGGUUCCCGGCCGUUAAACCCCCCAAUUUCUGAAAUGUUGACCUCGGAUCAGGUAGGAAUACCCGCUGAACUUAAGCAUAUCAAUAAGCGGAGGAAAAGAAACCAACAGGGAUUGCCCUAGUAACGGCGAGUGAAGCGGCAACAGCUCAAAUUUGAAAUCUGGCUUCGGCCCGAGUUGUAAUUUGUAGAGGAUGCUUUUGGUGCGGUGCCUUCUGAGUUCCCUGGAACGGGACGCCUUAGAGGGUGAGAGCCCCGUAAAGUUGGACACCAAGCCUAUGUAAAGCUCCUUCGACGAGUCGAGUAGUUUGGGAAUGCUGCUCAAAAUGGGAGGUAAAUUUCUUCUAAAGCUAAAUACCGGCCAGAGACCGAUAGCGCACAAGUAGAGUGAUCGAAAGAUGAAAAGCACUUUGAAAAGAGGGUUAAAAAGUACGUGAAAUUGUUGAAAGGGAAGCGCUCAUGACCAGACUUGUGCCCUGCGGAUCAUCCAGCCUUCUGGCUGGUGCACUUCGCUUGGUUCAGGCCAGCAUCGGUUCUCCGGGGGGGAUAAAAGCUUCAGGAACGUAGCUCCCUCGGGAGCAUUAUAGCCUGUUGCAUAAUACCCUCUAGGGGACCGAGGUUCGCGCA